RNAcentral lists this unclassified non-coding RNA (313 nucleotides) under Athalia rosae (coleseed sawfly). Its description in RNAcentral is "misc RNA ENSAEAG00005011715.1". Lineage: Eukaryota; Metazoa; Arthropoda; Insecta; Hymenoptera; Athaliidae. The record is from RNAcentral.
CUCUAUCACACUAUCGUCCGUUGUUUCGAGAACACGCUCAUCCGGAAAAAAUGAAUAAAAAUAGAGUAACAGUCGAUAUCACAUGGAUCUAUCUUAAUAAAUAUCACUAUUUUCCACUGACAAUGAAGCAAGAUGAAUUAUUAUAGGAAUGAUAUUCACGCCCCUAUUAAACAUUGAUUAAUGAUCAAUUUGCGACGCCGCUAUAUUCAGAUCAUAAAAAUCUAAAUUGUCAGAGACAACCCUAUUGCUCUCCAAAGAAGGUCAUCUGAGAAUCACCUAAAACAAGGGGCGCCAGGCAAAUCUCUCCCAUCUG